UCUGAUUUUUCGGUGAAAAUUCUUUUCUUUAUAAAGAUUUUCCGGGAAAUUAUCGGGAUUCGUCCUGAAGUUUCACUGUGGUUCUUGGAACGAGAUGUUGACUGUGUUCCCUCCUUCCAGAUCCAACCGAAUACCCUUGAGAUGGUGGACCUUGUUGUCUCUUUUCUCAUUCUUCAGGUGUGGAUUUUCCGCCCAAGUUUUGGCUCGUGUGGAACUCAAUGUCUUUUCCAAGAGUUUAAUUUUGUUAACUCUUUCCUUUCUAGAUUCCUCUGCCAUAUUAUCCUGCAACUUUAUUUUUGUAUUUUAAUUUCUUCUUCAUAAGCAGUUAGUUCGAUUAUGUUGGGCGCCAUAAAUAUAUACCAACCCUCCCAUUGAAAGACAGGGUGGUUAUAUUUAAAAUGAUUUUGUGGUGUUUUAUUUUAUAAUUAAUUUUUGUUCGUGAAAUAUUAAAAGAAAAUUUGAAACUAAAAUUAUAAGUGACCCAUGAAAUAUUGAACAUUGUUUUUUCACCUUUGAAACGAAUCGAUUCUUCUAAAGAGCUCUCGCGAGUAAAAAUUCCUCAAAAAUUGUGAAAAAGACUUUAAAAAUAUAAAAAACUAUUAAAAUAAGUGAAUUAGUGAAAGACGUGAUACAUGCAAUUAGUGGUGAGUCUACAUUUUUAUUACAAUUUUUAUAAAUAAUUAAGUUUUUAAUCUUUGUGUUUGUAUAAUUUAUUAUACACAUAAUUUGUUAUUUUUGCAAUCGGAGGUUAGAGAUAUCUCAUAUGACUUACGUAUAACGUGUCAUAAGACAUGUUAAUAAGUAUGUUUUAUGGAUUUUAUCAAUUUUAUGCAAAAAUUUAUGUUUUAGAGAUGAAAUUCUAUUUUCUUGACCUUUAUAUAAGACUUUUUGAUGCAUUUAUAUAGUUUUUCUCCUUUUUCUGAAAGAAAAUUUGGAAAAAUAAAAAUUAUGUGCAAAAUUGGUGUUUCCGCAAAAUUUCGGCACGGCGCUAGUGUUUGUGAAAAAAAAGUGCAAAAAAGGUGAAACGCUGAUGCUGUGAAGGCCCUAUGGAUAUGAUGUGCGCGGCCGUAAAAUAUUAAAACAAAAAAAAAUCACAAUUUUUUGUGGAAAUUGGCAAUGUAAGUAUGUUUUUCUUUUAUUAUCUUGUAUAUAAUAAGAUGAUUGUGUGAUGGAAGAUAAACUGAUAAGAGAAGAAGCCAGAAUCGACCACUGAUGCCAGUUGUGAAGGAAGCAACAACGGUGAAGGUGCAAACAGGUGUCUUUCACUGUGUUAUCACGAGAAUGGCAACGACAAUUGAAGAAAACCGCCAGGAAGACAAUUUUCUAUACCAUCGUGUGAGGGAUGUCAACAUUCGAUGUGACCUUGUGGAACAGAACUUCGGCAUGACAAAGUUGCAGGACAUCUAGGGGAAGGAGCAACGCGGUGGUAUUAAAGAUGCCAUUGCAGGGCUGCGGGAACUCAAGGAGGAUGACAAGAAGGAAUUAACGGAUCUCCUUGAUUGUCAUUUCUGAUCCGGAGAAGCAGCCAAUUAAAUCAGUGUCCCGGAAGACAAACAAGAGACGCUUCCAGAGCAGAUAAACUUUGAGGAUUUCACGGUGACGCGUAAUGCUGUACGAGAAUUUCAAUCCGUCAGUAAGGUGAAAAAAGAAGGUCAAGAGCAGAAGCCGGAGCAACAGAAGCAGCAAGUUGAGGAAGGUGGUGAACCCAAUAAGGUGGAGAAAGCUGCUCAGGAGACAGUUGAAACGCCUUCUAUGCCGGAGACGCAGGAAGAGAAGAAGCCAGAAUCGACCACAGAUGCCAGUUGUGAAGAAAGCAACAACGGUGCACCGUGUGCGUGAAUAGAUGCAUGAAUUUUCACGUCGGUACCACCACGUGAAAGGGUGACGCGUAAUGCUGUACGAGAAUUUCAAUCCGUCAGUAAGGUGAAAAAAGAAGGUCAAGAGCAGAAGCCGGAGCAACAGAAGCAGCAAGUUGAGGAAGGUGGUGAACCCAAUAAGGUGGAGAAAGCUGCUCAGGAGACAGUUGAAACGCCUUCUAUGCCGGAGACGCAGGAAGAGAAGAAGCCAGAAUCGACCACAGAUGCCAGUUGUGAAGAAAGCAACAACGGUGCACCGUGUGCGUGAAUAGAUGCAUGAAUUUUCACGUCGGUACCACCACGUGAAAGGGUGACGCGUAAUGCUGUACGAGAAUUUCAAUCCGUCAGUAAGGUGAAAAAAGAAGGUCAAGAGCAGAAGCCGGAGCAACAGAAGCAGCAAGUUGAGGAAGGUGGUGAACCCAAUAAGGUGGAGAAAGCUGCUCAGGAGACAGUUGAAACGCCUUCUAUGCCGGAGACGCAGGAAGAGAAGAAGCCAGAAUCGACCACAGAUGCCAGUUGUGAAGAAAGCAACAACGGUGCACCGUGUGCGUGAAUAGAUGCAUGAAUUUUCACGUCGAUACCACCACGUGAAAGAUCUUCCAGGAGACAGUUGAAACGCCUUCUAUGCCGGAGACGCAGGAAGAGAAGAAGCCAGAAUCAACCACAGAUGCCAGUUGUGAAGAAAGCAACAACGGUGAAAGUGCGAACAGUUGUUUUCCACUGUGUUAUCACGAGAAUGGCAACGACAAUUGAAGAGAUGUUCCAGGAAGACAAUUUUCUAUACCAUCAUGUGAGGGAUGUCAACAUUCGAUGUGACCUUGCGGAACAGAACUUCGGCAUGACAAAGUUGCAGGACAUCUAGGGGAAGGAGCAACGCGGUGGUAUUAAAGAUGCCAUUGCAGGGCUGCGGGAACUCAAGGAGGAUGACAAGAAGGAAUUAACGGAUCUCCUUGAUUGUCAUUUCUGAUCCGGAGAAGCAGCCAAUUAAAUCAGUGUCCCGGAAGACAAACAAGAGACGCUUCCAGAGCAGAUAAACUUUGAGGAUUUCACGGUGAUGCGUAAUGCUGUACGAGAAUUUCAAUCCGUCAGUAAGGUGAAAAAAAAAGGUCAAGAGCAGAAGCCGGAGCAACAGAAGCAGCAAGUUGAGGAAGGUGGUGAACCCAAUAAGGUGGAGAAAGCUGCUCAGGAGACAGUUGAAACGCCUUCAAUGCCGGAGACGCAGGAAGAGAAGAAGUCAGAAUCGACCACAGAUGCCAGUUGUGAAGAAAGCAACAACGGUGCACCGUGUGCGUGAAUAGAUGCAUGAAUUUUCACGUCGGUACCACCACGUGAAAGGGUGACGCGUAAUGCUGUACGAGAAUUUCAAUCCGUCAGUAAGGUGAAAAAAGAAGGUCAAGAGCAGAAGCCGGAGCAACAGAAGCAGCAAGUUGAGGAAGGUGGUGAACCCAAUAAGGUGGAGAAAGCUGCUCAGGAGACAGUUGAAACGCCUUCUAUGCCGGAGACGCAGGAAGAGAAGAAGUCAGAAUCGACCACAGAUGCCAGUUGUGAAGAAAGCAACAACGGUGCACCGUGUGCGUGAAUAGAUGCAUGAAUUUUCACGUCGGUACCACCACGUGAAAGGGUGACGCGUAAUGCUGUACGAGAAUUUCAAUCCGUCAGUAAGGUGAAAAAAGAAGGUCAAGAGCAGAAGCCGGAACAACAGAAGCAGCAAGUUGAGGAAGGUGGUGAACCCAAUAAGGUGGAGAAAGCUGCUCAGGAGACAGUUGAAACGCCUUCUAUGCCGGAGACGCAGGAAGAGAAGAAGCCAGAAUCGACCACAGAUGCCAGUUGUGAAGAAAGCAACAACGGUGCACCGUGUGCGUGAAUAGAUGCAUAAAUUUUCACGUCGGUACCACCACGUGAAAGGGUGACGCGUAAUGCUGUACGAGAAUUUCAAUCCGUCAGUAAGGUGAAAAAAGAAGGUCAAGAGCAGAAGCCGGAGCAACAGAAGCAGCAAGUUGAGGAAGGUGGUGAACCCAAUAAGGUGGAGAAAGCUGCUCAGGAGACAGUUGAAACGCCUUCUAUGCCGGAGACGCAGGAAGAGAAGAAGCCAGAAUCGACCACAGAUGCCAGUUGUGAAGAAAGCAACAACGGUGCACCGUGUGCGUGAAUAGAUGCAUAAAUUUUCACGUCGGUACCACCACGUGAAAGGGUGACGCGUAAUGCUGUACGAGAAUUUCAAUCCGUCAGUAAGGUGAAAAAAGAAGGUCAAGAGCAGAAGCCGGAGCAACAGAAGCAGCAAGUUGAGGAAGGUGGUGAACCCAAUAAGGUGGAGAAAGCUGCUCAGGAGACAGUUGAAACGCCUUCUAUGCCGGAGACGCAGGAAGAGAAGAAGCCAGAAUCGACCACAGAUGCCAGUUGUGAAGAAAGCAACAACGGUGCACCGUGUGCGUGAAUAGAUGCAUAAAUUUUCACGUCGGUACCACCACGUGAAAGGGUGACGCGUAAUGCUGUACGAGAAUUUCAAUCCGUCAGUAAGGUGAAAAAAGAAGGUCAAGAGCAGAAGCCGGAGCAACAGAAGCAGCAAGUUGAGGAAGGUGGUGAACCCAAUAAGGUGGAGAAAGCUGCUCAGGAGACAGUUGAAACGCCUUCUAUGCCGGAGACGCAGGAAGAGAAGAAGCCAGAAUCGACCACAGAUGCCAGUUGUGAAGAAAGCAACAACGGUGCACCGUGUGCGUGAAUAGAUGCAUAAAUUUUCACGUCGGUACCACCACGUGAAAGGGUGACGCGUAAUGCUGUACGAGAAUUUCAAUCCGUCAGUAAGGUGAAAAAAGAAGGUCAAGAGCAGAAGCCGGAGCAACAGAAGCAGCAAGUUGAGGAAGGUGGUGAACCCAAUAAGGUGGAGAAAGCUGCUCAGGAGACAGUUGAAACGCCUUCUAUGCCGGAGACGCAGGAAGAGAAGAAGCCAGAAUCGACCACAGAUGCCAGUUGUGAAGAAAGCAACAACGGUGCACCGUGUGCGUGAAUAGAUGCAUAAAUUUUCACGUCGGUACCACCACGUGAAAGGGUGACGCGUAAUGCUGUACGAGAAUUUCAAUCCGUCAGUAAGGUGAAAAAAGAAGGUCAAGAGCAGAAGCCGGAGCAACAGAAGCAGCAAGUUGAGGAAGGUGGUGAACCCAAUAAGGUGGAGAAAGCUGCUCAGGAGACAGUUGAAACGCCUUCUAUGCCGGAGACGCAGGAAGAGAAGAAGCCAGAAUCGACCACAGAUGCCAGUUGUGAAGAAAGCAACAACGGUGCACCGUGUGCGUGAAUAGAUGCAUAAAUUUUCACGUCGGUACCACCACGUGAAAGGGUGACGCGUAAUGCUGUACGAGAAUUUCAAUCCGUCAGUAAGGUGAAAAAAGAAGGUCAAGAGCAGAAGCCGGAGCAACAGAAGCAGCAAGUUGAGGAAGGUGGUGAACCCAAUAAGGUGGAGAAAGCUGCUCAGGAGACAGUUGAAACGCCUUCUAUGCCGGAGACGCAGGAAGAGAAGAAGCCAGAAUCGACCACAGAUGCCAGUUGUGAAGAAAGCAACAACGGUGCACCGUGUGCGUGAAUAGAUGCAUAAAUUUUCACGUCGGUACCACCACGUGAAAGGGUGACGCGUAAUGCUGUACGAGAAUUUCAAUCCGUCAGUAAGGUGAAAAAAGAAGGUCAAGAGCAGAAGCCGGAACAACAGAAGCAGCAAGUUGAGGAAGGUGGUGAACCCAAUAAGGUGGAGAAAGCUGCUCAGGAGACAGUUGAAACGCCUUCUAUGCCGGAGACGCAGGAAGAGAAGAAGCCAGAAUCGACCACAGAUGCCAGUUGUGAAGAAAGCAACAACGGUGCACCGUGUGCGUGAAUAGAUGCAUGAAUUUUCACGUCGGUACCACCACGUGAAAGGGUGACGCGUAAUGCUGUACGAGAAUUUCAAUCCGUCAGUAAGGUGAAAAAAGAAGGUCAAGAGCAGAAGCCGGAGCAACAGAAGCAGCAAGUUGAGGAAGGUGGUGAACCCAAUAAGGUGGAGAAAGCUGCUCAGGAGACAGUUGAAACGCCUUCUAUGCCGGAGACGCAGGAAGAGAAGAAGCCAGAAUCGACCACAGAUGCCAGUUGUGAAGAAAGCAACAACGGUGCACCGUGUGCGUGAAUAGAUGCAUAAAUUUUCACGUCGGUACCACCACGUGAAAGGGUGACGCGUAAUGCUGUACGAGAAUUUCAAUCCGUCAGUAAGGUGAAAAAAGAAGGUCAAGAGCAGAAGCCGGAGCAACAGAAGCAGCAAGUUGAGGAAGGUGGUGAACCCAAUAAGGUGGAGAAAGCUGCUCAGGAGACAGUUGAAACGCCUUCUAUGCCGGAGACGCAGGAAGAGAAGAAGCCAGAAUCGACCACAGAUGCCAGUUGUGAAGAAAGCAACAACGGUGCACCGUGUGCGUGAAUAGAUGCAUAAAUUUUCACGUCGGUACCACCACGUGAAAGGGUGACGCGUAAUGCUGUACGAGAAUUUCAAUCCGUCAGUAAGGUGAAAAAAGAAGGUCAAGAGCAGAAGCCGGAGCAACAGAAGCAGCAAGUUGAGGAAGGUGGUGAACCCAAUAAGGUGGAGAAAGCUGCUCAGGAGACAGUUGAAACGCCUUCUAUGCCGGAGACGCAGGAAGAGAAGAAGCCAGAAUCGACCACAGAUGCCAGUUGUGAAGAAAGCAACAACGGUGCACCGUGUGCGUGAAUAGAUGCAUAAAUUUUCACGUCGGUACCACCACGUGAAAGGGUGACGCGUAAUGCUGUACGAGAAUUUCAAUCCGUCAGUAAGGUGAAAAAAGAAGGUCAAGAGCAGAAGCCGGAGCAACAGAAGCAGCAAGUUGAGGAAGGUGGUGAACCCAAUAAGGUGGAGAAAGCUGCUCAGGAGACAGUUGAAACGCCUUCUAUGCCGGAGACGCAGGAAGAGAAGAAGCCAGAAUCGACCACAGAUGCCAGUUGUGAAGAAAGCAAC
This is a long non-coding RNA of Lutzomyia longipalpis, 6834 nucleotides long. RefSeq lists it as uncharacterized. The record is from RefSeq and is a predicted model, not a curated record. NCBI's taxonomy places the organism in Eukaryota, Metazoa, Arthropoda, Insecta, Diptera, Psychodidae. The transcript is spliced from 19 exons.